Cynoglossus semilaevis (tongue sole) is the source of this 1779-nucleotide long non-coding RNA. RefSeq lists it as uncharacterized. The transcript has 3 exons. NCBI's taxonomy places the organism in Eukaryota, Metazoa, Chordata, Actinopteri, Pleuronectiformes, Cynoglossidae. The record is from RefSeq and is a predicted model, not a curated record.
CAAACACCUGCAGCCACAGUGGCCCUCUGAGGAAGAGUUUGUCCGAGCCCUGCUAAAGAUGUCCAGGUACACUGGUGGGUUCUUGACCAGGGUCAGCAGGCGGUUGUGGAUGUCCUUGAUGACCAUCCUCUGCUGAGGUUCUCUCUGCCAGCAGCCCUGCAUCAACAGAUGCCACAGAAAUACUGCGGAUUCUCCACAAAGCUGGACAGACCGGAGUCUUCGUCCGAUGAGGGUGGGCUGGAACCAAAGUUCAUGAAUCGAAGCGACACAGCCAGGUCGUCCUCCGUACCCAAAACUGAUGAUCCUAAUGGAAGGGGCAGAGUGGUAAACAACAGCCCCAACAGAUACACCGAGUCACCUAAUCAGUCUCCUGCCAUUUACAUUGAAAAGAAGUAAUUCUGAAGCCAUUUUUCCCCUCAUUCAAGGAGUCGCUGCUCUCCAACACCAACUUGGUUCCACAUUUGUUGGUACCAUGGUGACAGAUGAUGACAAACUCUAAUAAUCACCAUCAUCAGCCGUGCGGCAAUCAAGCUGCAUUGAUGUGAAAAAAUAGAGGCCAUAUAGGCAGCCUGAAUGGUUAGCAACCCCUGACUACAGUGCAUAUUAAAUGCCAAACAAGCAGGGUCCAAAUUGUAAAACUCCACUCAGCAAGGCAAACCACAGAACCCCCAGAGUCCAACACGAUAGAAAAUGGAACAACAAAGAGAGCACAGAGGCGAUGGAGGGAAGGAAACAGGGAGCAGGGUCCACUUAGGCAAUCAGACCCACUUAGGCACUUUGGUAGUGAGAAGGCUAAGUGUGUGUGUGUGUGUGUGUGUGUGUGUGUUUUGGGAAUGGAGCGUUGGGCUAGAGGUAGUUUCUCCAGCAUCCAUAUAUUCACCCACCCAUCCAUCAAUCUUCUUUAAUAACCCUUACCACAUGGUGGUGGUGGCUGAGGCAGGUCGAACCACCAUCUUGUAAUUAAGGCACUUUAGCCCGACUGACAUGUGCAGCUUUGGCUGGAUGUGUGCACAGUAGUUCUACAUCCGCAGGUAAAUCACAGCUUAGCUGGUCUCCUCAUCCGUUCACCUCUGUGAGACUGACAGGACCAGGUGUGAGCUAAAAGUACUGUAUAAUUUGGCAGGAUUUCUGAUUAUGAGUCAUUUGCGAUUCUGCUCAGAAAUGUGCUCCUAAAGAACACGUGGUUCUAAGACAAAGUACAAAGUACACGUUUUUGGUAUUCACAGGUCAUGGACUAUAAAGCAGUGCAGGGUUGAUUACAAACUGGGGAUUCAAACUGAAUCAGAAAGAACAGUAUGACACUGAGCCAACGCUGAAAAAUUGGUCAAAGCUGGCAACAAACACCGGCUGGUUUUGGCCCACGGGCCGUAUGGUUGACCCUGAUCGAGGACAUAAAAGCAUCAGAAGAGUCAACAACAGCAAGUUCCCAAAAAACAACACAAACGCAAGAGAGCACAAUCAAAUGUAUAGCGUACAGCUGGCAAAUGUAAAUGAAGUCGUCGUCUGCAUAUAGUGUCAUGUGACAGUCCAUCUCCUCCAAACACCGACUAGUUCCAGUGCGAACGCCCUACGUCAGAAUGAUGGACUUACACAAUACAUUUAUGGGAGAUGGCGACAUGACCACGAAACGCUGUAGGUUGAGGUCCAUGUAAACCAAGGACCCCGUGUGUAUAGUACAUAAAUAUUAACCAUUCGACCAAUAGAUUCUACAAAAACAUGUAUACAAGUAUAAAAACAAACAUAAUUAUAUAGAAACAUUUAGUAAAUGUAUAUUUUUGU